ACGAACGCUGGCGGCAUGCUUAACACAUGCAAGUCGAACGAGAAAGGUUCUUCGGGACCAAGUAGAGUGGCGCACGGGUGAGUAACGCGUAGAUAACCUGCCCUUAAGACUGGGAUAACGUUUCGAAAGGAACGCUAAUACCGGAUGAUAACUUUCUACAGAAGUAGAGGGUUUAAAAGUUGAGGCGCUUGAGGAUGGGUCUGCGUCCCAUUAGCUAGUUGGUAGGGUAAAAGCCUACCAAGGCAACGAUGGGUAGCGGGUUUGAGAGGAUGAUCCGCCACACUGGCACUGAGAUACGGGCCAGACUCCUACGGGAGGCAGCAGUGGGGAAUAUUGCGCAAUGGGCGAAAGCCUGACGCAGCAAUGCCGCGUGAGUGAAGAAGGUUUUCGGAUCGUAAAGCUCUUUGUCUCUGCGAAGAUAAUGACGGUAGCAGAGGAAUAAGCACCGGCUAACUACGU
RNAcentral lists this ribosomal RNA (459 nucleotides) under uncultured bacterium. RNAcentral describes it as "bacterial SSU rRNA". It matches the Rfam family "Bacterial small subunit ribosomal RNA", at positions 29 to 506 of the family's 1533-position model. The record is from RNAcentral.